AUUGAACGCUGGCGGCAGGCCUAAUACAUGCAAGUCGAGCGGUAGCACAGAGAGCUUGCUCUCGGGUGACGAGCGGCGGACGGGUGAGUAAUGUCUGGGAAACUGCCUGAUGGAGGGGGAUAACUACUGGAAACGGUAGCUAAUACCGCAUAACGUCGCAAGACCAAAGAGGGGGACCUUCGGGCCUCUUGCCAUCAGAUGUGCCCAGAUGGGAUUAGCUAGUAGGUGGGGUAACGGCUCACCUAGGCGACGAUCCCUAGCUGGUCUGAGAGGAUGACCAGCCACACUGGAACUGAGGCACGGUCCAGACUCCUACGGGAGGCAGCAGUGGGGAAUAUUGCACAAUGGGCGCAGGCCUGAUGCAGCCAUGCCGCGUGUAUGAAGAAGGCCUUCGGGUUGUAAAGUACUUUCAGCGGGGAGGAAGGUGUUGAGGUUAAUAACCUCAGCAAUUGACGUUACCCGCAGAAGAAGCACCGGCUAACUCCGUGCCAGCAGCCGCGGUAA
RNAcentral lists this ribosomal RNA (504 nucleotides) under uncultured bacterium. RNAcentral's name for it is "partial 16S ribosomal RNA". It matches the Rfam family "Bacterial small subunit ribosomal RNA", at positions 30 to 523 of the family's 1533-position model. The record is from RNAcentral.